RNAcentral lists this ribosomal RNA (253 nucleotides) under uncultured bacterium. RNAcentral describes it as "partial 16S ribosomal RNA". It matches the Rfam family "Bacterial small subunit ribosomal RNA", at positions 524 to 776 of the family's 1533-position model. The record is from RNAcentral.
UACGGAAGGUGCGAGCGUUGUUCGGAUUGAUUGGGCGUAAAGCGCACGUAGGCGGGUUUGUAAGUCGAUUGUGAAAGCCCCGGGCUUAACCCGGGAAUUGCAGUCGAAACUGCGAAUCUUGAAUGCCUGAGGGGUUGGUGGAAUUCCAGGUGUAGGAGUGAAAUCCGUAGAUAUCUGGAGGAACAUCGGAGGCGAAGGCGGCCAACUGGCAGUGCAUUGACGCUGAGGUGCGAAAGCGUGGGGAGCAAACAGG